This 555-nucleotide ribosomal RNA is filed under the name Staphylococcus aureus. RNAcentral describes it as "partial 23S ribosomal RNA". It matches the Rfam family "Bacterial large subunit ribosomal RNA", at positions 405 to 962 of the family's 2925-position model. Lineage: Bacteria; Bacillati; Bacillota; Bacilli; Caryophanales; Staphylococcaceae. The record is from RNAcentral.
AUCCUGAGUACGACGGAGCACGUGAAAUUCCGUCGGAAUCUGGGAGGACCAUCUCCUAAGGCUAAAUACUCUCUAGUGACCGAUAGUGAACCAGUACCGUGAGGGAAAGGUGAAAAGCACCCCGGAAGGGGAGUGAAAUAGAACCUGAAACCGUGUGCUUACAAGUAGUCAGAGCCCGUUAAUGGGUGAUGGCGUGCCUUUUGUAGAAUGAACCGGCGAGUUACGAUUUGAUGCAAGGUUAAGCAGUAAAUGUGGAGCCGUAGCGAAAGCGAGUCUGAAUAGGGCGUUUAGUAUUUGGUCGUAGACCCGAAACCAGGUGAUCUACCCUUGGUCAGGUUGAAGUUCAGGUAACACUGAAUGGAGGACCGAACCGACUUACGUUGAAAAGUGAGCGGAUGAACUGAGGGUAGCGGAGAAAUUCCAAUCGAACCUGGAGAUAGCUGGUUCUCUCCGAAAUAGCUUUAGGGCUAGCCUCAAGUGAUGAUUAUUGGAGGUAGAGCACUGUUUGGACGAGGGGCCCCUCUCGGGUUACCGAAUUCAGACAAACUCCGAAUG